RNAcentral lists this unclassified non-coding RNA (335 nucleotides) under soil metagenome. RNAcentral's name for it is "partial contains 5.8S ribosomal RNA, internal transcribed spacer 2, and large subunit ribosomal RNA". The stretch from base 1 to 120 matches the Rfam family "5.8S ribosomal RNA", at positions 35 to 154 of the family's 154-position model. The record is from RNAcentral.
GAUGAAGAACGUAGCGAAAUGCGAUAAGUAGUGUGAAUUGCAGAAUUCAGUGAAUCAUCGAAUCUUUGAACGCACAUUGCGCCCUUUGGUAUUCCUUAGGGCAUGCCUGUUCGAGCGUCAUUUAAACCUUCAAGCCCUGCUUGGUGUUGGGUGCCUGUCCCGCCCCCGCGCGUGGACUCACCUCAAAUCCAUUGGCGGCCCCCGCAAGGCCACGAGCGCAGCAGAAACGCAAACUCGUGUGCCCGGCGGGCGGCUCCCAGAAGCUACACCCACCAUUUUGACCUCGUAUCAGGUAGGGAUACCCGCUGAACUUAAGCAUAUCAAUAAGCGGAGGA